AGAGUUUGAUCGUGGCUCAGAUUGAACGCUGGCGGCAUGCCUUACACAUGCAAGUCGAACGGUAACAGGUUAAGCUGACGAGUGGCGAACGGGUGAGUAAUAUAUCGGAACGUGCCCAGUCGUGGGGGAUAACUACUCGAAAGAGUAGCUAAUACCGCAUACGACCUGAGGGUGAAAGCGGGGGAUCGCAAGACCUCGCGCGAUUGGAGCGGCCGAUAUCAGAUUAGGUAGUUGGUGGGGUAAAAGCUCACCAAGCCAACGAUCUGUAGCUGGUCUGAGAGGACGACCAGCCACACUGGGACUGAGACACGGCCCAGACACCUACGGGAGGCAGCAGUGGGGAAUUUUGGACAAUGGGCGCAAGCCUGAUCCAGCCAUGCCGCGUGCGGGAAGAAGGCCUUCGGGUUGUAAACCGCUUUUGUCAGGGAAGAAAAGGUUCUGGCUAAUACCCGGGACUCAUGACGGUACCUAAGAU
RNAcentral lists this ribosomal RNA (475 nucleotides) under uncultured organism. RNAcentral describes it as "bacterial SSU rRNA". It matches the Rfam family "Bacterial small subunit ribosomal RNA", at positions 8 to 485 of the family's 1533-position model. The record is from RNAcentral.